UGCCAGACUCCUACGGGAGGCAGCAGUGGGGAAUAUUGCACAAUGGGCGAAAGCCUGAUGCAGCAACGCCGCGUGAGUGAUGAAGGCCUUCGGGUCGUAAAACUCUGUCCUCAAGGAAGAUAAUGACGGUACUUGAGGAGGAAGCCCCGGCUAACUACGUGCCAGCAGCCGCGGUAAUACGUAGGGGGCUAGCGUUAUCCGGAUUUACUGGGCGUAAAGGGUGCGUAGGCGGUCUUUCAAGUCAGGAGUGAAAGGCUACGGCUCAACCGUAGUAAGCUCUUGAAACUGGGAGACUUGAGUGCAGGAGAGGAGAGUGGAAUUCCUAGUGUAGCGGUGAAAUGCGUAGAUAUGUGGAAGAACACCGAUGGCGAAGGCAGCCUCCUGGGACGCAACUGACGCUCAUACACGAAAGCGUGGGGAGCAAACAGGAUUAGAUACCCCGGUAUC
RNAcentral lists this ribosomal RNA (447 nucleotides) under uncultured bacterium. Its description in RNAcentral is "bacterial SSU rRNA". It matches the Rfam family "Bacterial small subunit ribosomal RNA", at positions 329 to 794 of the family's 1533-position model. The record is from RNAcentral.